Molecule: ribosomal RNA, 433 nt
Filed under: uncultured bacterium
Lineage: Bacteria
Description: partial 16S ribosomal RNA
Rfam family: Bacterial small subunit ribosomal RNA
Source: RNAcentral
AACGAACGCUGGCGGCAUGCCUAACACAUGCAAGUCGAACGAGACCUUCGGAACAGGUGGCGCACAGGUGCGUCAAGCGUGGGACCGUGCACUUAGGUUCGGAAUAACUCCCCGUAGGGGGUGCUAAUAUCGGAUAAUGUACUCGGACAAAAGAUUUAUCGUAUUUGGAUGGGCCGGCGUUGGUUUAGCCUGUCGGUAGGGUAAAAGCCUAUCAAGGCGACGAUACAUAGCUGGUCUGAGAGAAAGAUCAGCCACACUGGGACUGAGAACCGGCCGAGACUCCUACGCGAUGCAGCAGUGGGGAAUACUGGCAAACGGGCGAAAGCCUGAACCAGCAAUGCUUGGUGAGUGAUUAAGUUGGGAGGGUAGUAAAGCUCGUUUACACGGGACGAUAAUGACAGUACCGGGAGAAUAAGCUCCGGCUAACUCCGUG